This 253-nucleotide ribosomal RNA is filed under the name uncultured bacterium. RNAcentral describes it as "partial 16S ribosomal RNA". It matches the Rfam family "Bacterial small subunit ribosomal RNA", at positions 524 to 776 of the family's 1533-position model. The record is from RNAcentral.
GACAGAGGGUGCGAGCGUUGAUCGGAAUAACUGGGCGUAAAGGGCACGCAGGCGGGCCUUUAAGUGGGAUGUGAAAUCCCCGGGCUUAACCGUGGAAUAGCAUUCCAGACUGGAGGUCUAGAGUACUUUAGAGGAGGGUAGAAUGCGACGUGUAGCGGUGAAAUUCGUAGAGAUGUGGCGGAACACCGAAGGCGAAGGCAGCCUCUUGGGAAGUUACUGACGCUGAUAUGCGAAAGCGUGGGGAGCAAACAGG